Zophobas morio is the source of this 621-nucleotide long non-coding RNA. RefSeq lists it as uncharacterized. The transcript has 6 exons. The record is from RefSeq and is a predicted model, not a curated record. NCBI's taxonomy places the organism in Eukaryota, Metazoa, Arthropoda, Insecta, Coleoptera, Tenebrionidae.
ACGAAAUCCCUUUUUUCGCAUUGCAAAAUUGAACAGCGACUUUCUGAGUUCGUACGUUCGGGGGUUAUUUUGACCUCGAAAAGUCUUGACAUCGCCGCGGCGGUGGGCCAUUCCGCUGACCAUUCAUUGUCUUGCCAAGGUUCACGGUUUUAAGAUACUCUCAACAAUUCAUAAUCUCAGCAACGAGGAAAAAAAGUUACGAAUCCUUAAAGCGGGCGGAGAGGUCGUUGAGUUGCCUAAUGGGAUUUUGCGAGUUAACGGACAGCUCACGUUAACACGAACCUUGGGCUGCACGUGUUUUCGCAAGUUUGGAGUCCUUACUAAUUGCGAUACUUCAGAAAAUUUACUUUCAAAGGACGACGCUUUCCUGCUACUGGCUACGGAUGGUUUAUAGGAAGUUUUUAACGAAGAUGAGGUUGUAGAGAUUAUUAAACGUAUUGACAGUCCCAGCGAAGCCGCUCAGCAACUUCAGCUCGAGUGCGAAUUGGCAGGAGGAGAAAACAAUUGCACGAUUAUUAUAAAGAAACUUUCAAGAUGGCAAGAUUUUAUGGGAAAAUCGAAUUCCGAAUUUCAGAAGCCGCCACCAGUGAAAAAUCGCCUGGUGUGAUUUAAAAAAUAAAU